UCCAGACUCCUACGGGAGGCAGCAGUGGGGAGUAUUGCACAAUGGGGGAAACCCUGAUGCAGCAACGCCGCGUGAGUGAAGAAGUAUUUCGGUAUGUAAAGCUCUAUCAGCAGGGAAGAAGAAGGACGGUACCUGACUAAGAAGCCCCGGCUAACUACGUGCCAGCAGCCGCGGUAAUACGUAGGGGGCGAGCGUUAUCCGGAUUUACUGGGUGUAAAGGGAGCGUAGACGGUUAAUCAAGUCUGAAGUGAAAGCCCGCGGCUCAACUGCGGAACGGCUUUGGAAACUGAGUAACUGGAGUGCUGGAGGGGCAGGCGGAAUUCCUGGUGUAGCGGUGAAAUGCGUAGAUAUCAGGAGGAACACCGGUGGCGAAGGCGGCUUACUGGACUGUAACUGACGUUGAGGCUCGAAAGCGUGGGGAGCAAACAGGAUUAGAUACCCCGGUAC
Molecule: ribosomal RNA, 447 nt
Filed under: uncultured bacterium
Lineage: Bacteria
Description: bacterial SSU rRNA
Rfam family: Bacterial small subunit ribosomal RNA
Source: RNAcentral